Molecule: non-coding RNA, 5486 nt
Organism: Coturnix japonica (Japanese quail)
Lineage: Eukaryota; Metazoa; Chordata; Aves; Galliformes; Phasianidae
Source: RefSeq, a predicted model, not a curated record
CAAAAAAAGAAGCCUAGUCAGAUACAUUUAUUAACUCAAAAACAAUGUAGUGCUGGAUUAUCUUCUAGUAUACAUGUAAAUUAACACACAUGGCUAAAAAUUCACUGCUUCCUUGUUUGAGUACUGGUUCUGGAAGGAGCCUCUACAGAUACUGAAGUACCCCUAGAGAUCUGCCAUCAGAACAUUUACAUCAUAAUGCUCUUGUUCUGUUGCUCAAACUUGAAAAGUUUUGGAAUCUGGUGAACUUUUCUUUCCUCACAUGGAACUGCCAAAUAGCCACUAGUUCAAUUUGGCCAAGCGCCCUGCCUUCACAUACUGAAAUCAGCAUUCCUUAGACGUGGUGGUACCUUCCUGUUUCAAUGUGAGAUAAGUUUGCAUCACCACAUCAGCCUGAGACCCUCCAGGGCAGUUGCAGGUGCUGAUGCGGUUCCUUGGAGGAUCUGACUUAGAGCGCGCUCCUCAUAGAAACACACACUGCUCAUCACAAGAAGCUGAUGUAGCCCUACCUCACUGAUCAAGUAAAUGGACAAAGAAUAAGAGACAAGAAGGAAACUAGAAUCUGCUUCUCCAAAAUCCAAACCCAUGCUUUUAACCACAGAAGCACUUCCAGUAUACACCAAGCCAAAAUAAACAUCAUUGCAGAACUCUUGCAAGAAGAGCUCUGAACUCUUCCAUCCCUCUUAUCUGUGACAAAACAACAGAUUUGGGAUAAAAAGAGAAUGGCCAAACUGCGCGGGCUGGAUGUAUGGAAAGUCUGUGGCUGGGUUCUCAUGCAGAGAACAGAAACGGCUCUGUGAUAAGUCAUCUAAACCAACACAGAAGAGAACAUGGAAAAUCCAGCUGAGAGGAACAUCUAAAUAUGCUUUAUACAAAAACUAAAUGUUAGCUCCACUUUUCUCCCUCUAUCCACUGCCUGCUGCUUUCCCUAGGUCCCACAGUUUCCUUGCAUGGAUGUUUUCCUUAAAAAUAAAAACACAAAAAUCAAUGUGAAUACUACAGAUAAACAUGCGUUGUUUACAUUCCCUUACUUUGAAGAGGUCACAUCACUUCUGAUGCAGUACACCAAUCCUAAGUUCAGGAUAUCACAUCAAUAUUACUGCAUUUUAUCUCAGCGACACAUCAUAGGAAAAUUUAGAAACUAUAGAUUAUGAAGUGCUUUCAAGUGAUACAGAGUAGCCAGCUAAUGUAAUACACCACACAGGGCAUAUGCUUUUUUUAAAGCUCUAAUGUCGCAAUAAAUCUGAACUACAGUAUCUGCCUUCACUAAGAAAACAUUUUCAUCUCAAUCCAUCAACAGAGUAAUUUAAACAAUAAAUGGUAGUGACCCAUAAGCCUAAGUGAAGAACAUGGGGAUAUUUGUGCCAAUUCUUUACUUCAUGAACCUUGAAAUCAAGGACCUUGUCCACAUUUGUACAAACAUAAACAUGCGCACUCACAUGCACAGUGUUGGUGUUUCUAGGACUAACACUACAACAUUUGCAGAAAAAAAAAUAUUCUUAUUUUUCAAAUACAAGAUCCUUUUGAACUGAAUAAACAAAAAGCAGGGUGAAAAGAAUGAAGCCGGUAGCUCUUCCAAUUUUACUGAACUUCAUUAAAAGGAAAAACUUCCCUCUCUUCCUUUCCCAGCCUAUGUCUGUACAGUAGCUAAAACCAACAAGCACACAUGCUCAAUUCCAGCACAGAGACAACAGCACCAGCAGUCACUGGGGUAAUGAAGGGGGUAGAAGAGCAGAACUUCAUCUCUUUUGAACACACAUGCCCUUUAUUAACACUGACACUGAUAUUCUUUCCACUGGACCUUAACCCAAAAUACACCCCUUCAUUCUGAAGGAUUUCAAAGGCUUUUUCUACUAUCCCUCAAACAUAUUCUCCUAAGAAUUGUUUCUUCCAGGACUCCUGGCCAGCUCACACAAACACUAAAAUAAAAGAAGUCAGGCUUAAAUCUAGUCAGGUGGUCUUGGAAAUUCACUGGGCAACUGAGCCCUGGUCACUUGCAAACAGUAAGGAACAUAAAGUCAAUCAAACUUUGCAGGAUAAAUUGUAACAUCCAAAUAUGCAUCUCAAUUAGGAACAAGACCUGAAAUCAGCACAUGAGAAAACAGGGUCUAUGUGGAAAAACUGCUUAUCCAAACACUUGAGAGUCAGGAUUAGCAUUGCACUGAGCUGGAAUUAAGGAGGCAGCAUUUGAAUCUUGAUGGAUUGAUAAGAUUUUCAAUAGCCAAGGGAUCCCUUUCCCUUAUUCCGCAUUUCAAGCAGAAACAGCAUACCUUCAAGUACUGCUUCUGCACUGAUAGGGAAACAAGGGCAUCCAUCUGAACUGCCAUCAGGUGUCUGGAACCGUUAAGGAGGAAAUGGACUUGUCCAACACCCUGAAAACACCAGACUCAACAGUCUCCCUUCUGCUGCCAUUAAGAUAAACAGCACUGCAUGAAAAUCCAUUAGAGUCGCUUCAGAAAUUCUAUUUACCUUACACUCAUUUAAUUUUAAAAGCUUACUAUUUUAUCUUAUUUUAAUAUCUAUAAAUGUAAAGAAGCGUUUGCAGAGAACCAAGGAAAAUGAAUCCAAGCUAAUUUACUCUAUGUAGAUUCAGUCAGCCAAGAUGUAAGAUACACUCUCUAAAUAAUAUAUCACGCAGGCAGUCAUAAUGCUUUGCCUAAAAUGCUUUAGCAAUUUAUAAAGCACAGUAUUGAACCAUCUACUCUUAAGUAUAAAAAGUUUAUCAUGGUCUUUAAACAAUAAAGUAGUGAGGCAAGUCCAAUGAACAUCAGCUAAGACCAAAUGAAGUAUGAAAAUAGGAAGUUUCAGCUUAUAGGUAUUCAAUAACAUACGAGCUUCUACAUUCCUUUUUGGAAGAAAUUUCCUCACGUCAUUAGCAGAAAAAAAAAUUAGAAGCAACUCUUCUUUUUUCUUCUGUCCUCUUAGCAACCCAAGAUGGAAUUAAAACUUCCCUUAAAAUAAUCAGGUGGCCACAGAGACAAAGAAACCUUGUACCGCUGUUAACAAAAGAAAGCAAACGGUAUUUAACCCUUCAGCUAUCUCCAUUUAUUUUUGAAAGGCAUCUUCUAUACUAUCUUCGAUUUUCAGCUCCAUUAUUAAAACGUGACAGUAAGAGAAAACAAGUGCAGCUAAACUACAGUUUCUUCUAGAGUUGUUAGAUGCCCUUCACGUCAGCCAGAUUAAGACACUAGAUUCUUACAAAUCAACAGCUUCAGCACAUCUCACUGCUUCCUAGUUAGAGAGUCUGCAGAAGCCAAAGGAAAAGCUAUUUCACCUGCAACACACAGAGCACUUUGCAGCACACCUGAGUGCCAAGACACAUCGUGUUGUUUUCAGAAAAUACCUGCUGCCCUCUCCAAACCUUUGCUUUCAACUACCUUAUCCAGGCUUAUGACGGCUCGCUAUUUUGGGAGCAGCCAGCUGAUACCGUUCUCUUUGGGACACUCCGGUGUCUUUGGAGAGCUGUAUACCCCCAAACAGUUGCACAGUUGUUACUCCCAGCUUCACAAUCAUCAUUACUUUUUCUGCAGCUUCAGACUUUUCCUCCUUAUUCACAACAGCCACACAGUUGUCACGUUAAUGUUCAGUCCCAUUUCCUAUUGUCUGUCAGUGCUUUUAAAAUCAAGACAGCCUGUCCUUUUACUUGCUGCUCUGAACCCACUCAUCCGCCCUGAUCCCCCAACCCUUUCUUUUCUUUAGGAUCAUCGUGAAACAUUAAUGUCACACAAAAAGCAACAACAGAGUCAGAUAUAACAUCUAGAAGUCCAGUUUCACACCGUAACCGUGAGACCAACCCACCCCUCGACACCUCUCAGGGUCAAUGGCACUUUAAUCCACCACGGCUAUUUUGCUUCUUAAACAGUCUACUCCAAAUUAAACCGCAAUAGUAGAGAACAGCAGAAUGUAAUGAGUGCUUGCAAAUUCCUACUGCAAAACACGUACACAUAACGUGCAGGUUUUCCAACAUCAGAUAUCUAUUUGGUAAAUAGAGACAGACCAUUCUUUGCUUUCUUCAGUAAAUAAAAAUUAUAGCAUUCACCCUAAUAACAGCACGCUAGCAGUUUUAAUUCCAAUGCCAUAUGUUUUAGGUUAUCAGCUGCACUUCGUGUCUGUAUUUUCAAUUAUCUACAGGUAGACAAUUUGGGAGUGUGAAAAUCAGGUUGAGCACUGAAACGUACUGGUCUGUUUGGGGUAAAAUCAUUUACCUGCAAAGCCUUCUUUUUUUAGCUAGGUUUCCCAUUGUGUACAAUUAGUACCAGGUUAGAUCUGACCAAAUAUACCACAGAUUUCUGUGCAGGCUUCUGUGAAGGCUAGCUUGUGUAAAUAAGGCUUGAUUAUAGCACACAGCUUGUGAAAGCAUCUGACUAACAUGACGCAUUACUGAUGGCCAGUUUUAGACUUACAUUUUCAUGAAGCUAAGCUCACUUUGGCUUUACAAUUUCAAUGAGCCUCCAGUUCUUAGUAAAAACAAUCCGGAGAAAACUCCUGGUUUGGAUAAGAAAGAAAAAGGACUCCAAAGAAAGCACAGCUCUGAAAUCUCAUCCUCUAAUAACUCCAUGGGGACAGGACAGAACUCGCCUCGCUGCUGGAAAGAGAACUUAGAGAGUGUAAAUAAAACACCUCGUUCACACACUGAAUUCAUGUGUUAGGUUAGAGCAGCAAGCCACUGUAACAUCCUGCUUUACAGGUUAGAUUGAAAAAGUACUGAAAAGAUUACUCUUCGUAAGUGAAUCCUCAACACAAUCUGUUUCAGCUGCAAACAGGCUCGACUAGUCUGGGGCUUUAGGCAAUUCAGCCUUUCUCACAGGUAUCAAGCGAACUAGGAAGGGGCUCUCUGGGAAAAAAGAAAGUUACCAAUUUUGUUUUAAAACUCCCAACUAUCAAAAAAAAAAAAAAGGAAUAUAAUUACCACUCCUUUUUUUUUAAAAGGUAACAACACUUUAUAUUUAAGAUCACAAAGAUGACAAAACCAAUACUUAAGUAACAGAAGGUAAUCAUUUGCAUUUCAAAAUUCAUCUAUCUUGCUUUUCCCUCAAUUAGUCCAAAACAUGUUGAUUCACAGGUUUGUGUGCGCGUUUGUUUCUUUUUUAAACUUAUUUACAGCGCAGAAUAAUGGCCCCCCUGCCAGGCUGGCAUUUGCUCAAGUUUCUGUCCCUGUAAAUUGAAUCUGUUACUGGAAUUUUCCCCCUUCAGAAUACCUAGGCACAUUAACCAAGAGAUAAAGAGAUACGCGCUGCUGAUACUAUCAGCCACCGGGCAGGUGGAUAACGUGAGGGAUUUUCUGUUAGUUUUUGUGGGUUUUUUUUUUUUUCUUUUUGAACAAAUAGGCGAUAAGAGUUCUCAGGGGGCACAGAGAGCAAAGGGCUGUUUAAACAGAAGUGAAUCAUUCUCAUCUGAUCUGCUAAUAACUUUGUAUUCAGACAUCAGCGCACUUAACACCCAGAAAACAAAAUUACUUUAAAGAAGUGGAAGUAAGGGGGGGGGGGGGG